AUGGUUUGUGCUAGGACAGUCAGUGCUCCUCUGCUCGCUGCAGCAGCAGUAGCGGCGCUGGCACUGGCCUGCUCGCUGGGAUAUGGGGCUUAUGCGGCGGCAGAGCAUGAGGCCGCCGGCGCCGGCGGGGACGACGUGAGGUUGAGGCAGCCUCCGAUCACGCGCGGCCUGUCCUUCGACUUCUACAAGCGGAGCUGCCCCAGGGCGGAGUCCAUCGUGCGCCACUUCGUCCGGCACGCCGUCCGCAAGGACGUCGGCCUCGCCGCCGGCCUCCUCCGCCUCCACUUCCACGACUGCUUCGUCCAGGGCUGCGACGCGUCGGUGCUCCUCGACGGCUCGGCCACGGGGCCGGGGGAGAAGCAGGCGCCGCCCAACCUCACGCUCCGCCCGUCCGCCUUCAAGGCCAUCAACGACAUCCGGGACCAGCUGGAGCGCGAGUGCCGCGGCGCCGUCGUGUCCUGCUCCGACAUCCUGGCGCUCGCCGCGCGCGACUCCGUGGUGGCCACGGGCGGGCCCGAGUACCGCGUGCCGCUCGGCCGGCGCGACAGCGCGCGGUUCGCCACGACGCAGGACGUGCUGUCCGGCCUCCCCGCGCCCACCUCCGCCGUGCCGUGCCUCCUCGACGUGCUCCACAGCCACAGCCCCGACCUCGACGCCACCGACCUCGUCACGCUCUCCGGCGGGCACACCGUGGGGCUCGGCCACUGCGUCUCCUUCGAGGGCCGCCUCUUCCCGCGGCCCGACCCGACGAUGAGCCCGGACUUCCUCGGCAGGCUGAGGCAGACGUGCCCGGCCAAGGGCACCGACGCGCGCGCCGCGCUGGACGUGCGCACGCCCGACGUGUUCGACAACAAGUACUACGUCAACCUGGUGAACCGGGAGGGGCUCUUCGUGUCGGACCAGGACCUGUUUAACAACGACGCCACCCGGCCCAUCGUGGAGCGCUUCGCGCGCAGCCAGCGCUACUUCUUCAGCCAGUUCGGCGUGUCCAUGGUGAAGAUGGGCCAGAUCAGGGUGCUCACCGGCGACCAGGGCCAGGUCCGCCGCAACUGCUCCGCCCGCAACCCCGGCACCGCCGCCGACGGCCUCGAGUGGUCGUCCCUGGUGCAGACCGUCGUGGACGCCGCUCCGGAGAGCCUCGGUUUCUAG
RNAcentral lists this ribosomal RNA (1149 nucleotides) under Triticum aestivum (bread wheat). RNAcentral describes it as "partial small subunit ribosomal RNA". Lineage: Eukaryota; Viridiplantae; Streptophyta; Magnoliopsida; Poales; Poaceae. The record is from RNAcentral.